GAUUUUUGCCUAGUGCUCUAAAUGUCAAAGUGAAAGUAUUUACUGAAGCUUAGGUAAAUUGAUGGGUGUAACUAUGACUCUUUUAAGGUAGCCAAAUGUCUCACCAUCUAAUUAAGGAUGUGAAUGAAUGGAU
Molecule: non-coding RNA, 133 nt
Filed under: Myotis brandtii (Brandt's bat)
Lineage: Eukaryota; Metazoa; Chordata; Mammalia; Chiroptera; Vespertilionidae
Description: Eukaryotic large subunit ribosomal RNA
Rfam family: Eukaryotic large subunit ribosomal RNA
Source: Rfam by way of RNAcentral